This is a long non-coding RNA of Macrobrachium nipponense, 1743 nucleotides long. RefSeq lists it as uncharacterized. NCBI's taxonomy places the organism in Eukaryota, Metazoa, Arthropoda, Malacostraca, Decapoda, Palaemonidae. The transcript is spliced from 3 exons. The record is from RefSeq and is a predicted model, not a curated record.
GUUGCCCUCAAUGAGCUGGAUUUCCAGAAUCCAGUUUUCCAGUUGAAGUUGUUGACUGAAGUUGAGUACGAUACUACAGGGACAGAGUGUGAAAUAAUGCCAAGGAUUGUGAAUGUUGAGCAAUAAUGAAGAUGGAGUUUUGCUGUCAUAUGGAACUUCCAUAAGAGACCAAGGCACAAAGGAUAGGGACACUUAGUCAUUUCACAUUCAGCCCGCUAUUCAGAAGGAAACUGAAAUGUUCCAGUUACCGAUUUAAAGUGCGAGGGAUGUAGUACACAUUUUCUUCAGGAAAUGAAGAGAAAACAACCCUGAAGAGGAAAAAGAGGAAGAAAACUACCAAACAUUAUCCAGUUCAAAUUAAUGAUACACAUUUACUUGAGGUGAAGGAAAAACCUGUAAAAUGAAAAAAAAACAAGAGGAAUGGAGGAAGAAAACCUAUAUUAUCCAGUUAAUAAAAAAGGGUUGUGAAUACCUGUCAAGUUGAAGCUUUGCUAUCUUCAAGAGACAUUGAUGCAAAACCUCGGGCACUUUUAGGCCUCUCAUAUUCAGCCCAACAUUCAGAAGACGACCGAAAUUAUAUCCAGUUUGAAAUGACGAGACACUUUCACUUCAGGAAAGGAGGAGGAAACCCUUGAGGAUGAAUGACUCAAUACGACUACUUUCAAGAGAAAUACCUGGUUUAGAAACUUCAAGGAAAGAAGAAGAAAAACAUUGCUGAGGAAUGAAGGAAGUUGACAACUUUGAAGAAAAAACUAAGCAAAAUACUUUAGGGUACUUUGGGGUGAAGAAACUUCACACUUUGAAGAAAAAACUCAGCAAAAUACUUUGGGGUACUUUGGGGUAAAGAAACUUCACCCAAGAAGAAGAAAAACCACUUACUUCAGGAAAGGAAAAUUAAAAACAACCAAGAGGAAUUUAAGAGACUAUAGCUUUGAAAUAAAAUAGUGAAGCAAAAUAAUUCUGGGUUAUUUGUCAAGAGUCUGUGAAGAACAGGAAAAUAUUUUCAACAAAGAUAAUUCAGGAAGUAAUAGAAUAUGCUUUGUAGUUUUAAGUUCUUAGAAAUUUUUUUUUUUCUAUUUUCUACAGAUACAGAUUUAUACUGGUGCUAGGAACGGGUAUACUGAUUGAUGCAUCUUUCUGUACAAAUUAAACCUUGACUACAUUUAAGCCCUAUAAUUUUCCAACAAAUACCUGAGAUACAGUGAAAUGUCAUAUUCAGUGAAAGACUUACCAUCAAACCCUGACAACAGAGAAAAUAUAACUAUUUGGUUGCGGCCACCACAAACAUUCAUGUCCAUCUUCUUGCUAGUUUUGAGGUAUGCCAAGCCUCAAAACUAUCCACAGUAUGGAAAUAUAUGUUUGCGGUGAGCGCAACCAAAUAGCAAUUGCAAAGUUUCCUCUGUUGUCAGGUUUUUAUGGUACGUUUUUCCAUAUUUUCUUGUCUUCCACUGAAUGUCUUUUCACUGUACCUCGGGUAUUCAUUGUAAGUUAUAGGGCUUAGAUAUGAACGUUAUUUCUUCUUGGUGAUCAAAUGCACCUCGGAUAUCGUUCUUGGGGACUUCAGUAAGCGCAGAGUUUCAUUCUUGGUAAGAAGGAUAUAAACACUUGCCUUCGAUGUAGUAGAUUCACGUCCUGAUGGGUACUACUCUGAAAGUAUAAAAUCUCAUUUUCAAUCUCAUUUGUCAAGUUUUUGUAAUCUAGGAGAUUUAUAAAUAACGACUAUACUGAAUCAACAUAUAAAAG